GAAACAAAAACUAUUUUUGUCCUGUUCGCACCAAACAUGAAAUAUCAAUAACCAUGAAGGUCCUGUACAAUCCAAUCAUGUUCCAUGUACCAAAAGCUACUGAUUUUUGUAAGAGAUAGUAGAGCAUCUAUGAAUAUAGUUCGAUCCCUACUUUGGCUUUGGCCAAAUUCAGCGGCUCCUCGCUAGACAACAUGUGUUCGAUGUCGACAGACCAGAAAGAGGUAGUGAACACUUUACCAUCAUAUAGUUCAUCAACCUACUGAGGGGACACCAACAACUCAAAUAUCCAAUCCCAUUGGAAGCCCUGCUUCGAUCCAAUCUGGUAUUUUUUGCAUCGGUAUUGCAGUUUGUUUUGUUGGGGAAUGUCUCUGUAAAGUAAAGAAAAGGAUAAGGAAGAAGUCGAGAAAUAUUAAAGAAGAUGAGAGACAAAUCAGCUGAGGGAGACACCAGUGGAUGAGCACUCAAUGGCCCUUUCUUAUAUUCUACCAAUAUGAGAGAGACACCAAAGUGAAAGCAGGAACUUUACUUGUUGGAGACAUUCACUUCGGCUUGAUGCUUCUUUUACCACUUACUUUAAUCCACGCCUGCCUAAAUAUUCAACACAAAAACAAGAAAAGUUUAUCCUCUUAUUCUCAAAAAGAAAUCCAAUUCACCAUCAACUUUUACACCCAAAGACACAUUCACAUGUUCAAUGUCAUCAGCCGGCUGUCUACUCAAAGCAGGAUAAACAUGUUGCCGACCAAGUCAAAAUUGGCUAACAAAGAAGGUUCCUUGGUUUCAUAAAUAUAAUAAUUUAAGAUGCUCCAUUGCUACUACCUGUGACUUGAACAGGAUCUAAACCACUAUCAACCUGCUAUUACCAACUUCACCAGAAAUUUUCAUGUGAGAAUGAUAAACAAAACCAAGACUUACCAACCAAUGCGGCAACAGCAACUUAACAGUAGAUUUAAGCUUUAUGUGUUGCAUAUAUGUAGAGAGCAUGCAGUUAUCCUUGAGUUUAUAUGCAUUUGAGCCAAAUAGAACAUACACAAUAAUAUUCUGACUACUGACCUGAGAAAGAAUAGAUCCUGGAAUCAACAGAGACGAUCCAGCCAAACCUUUAACUGGUCAAGAUAAUUGUAAAUGCACGAGUAUGUGUAUACAUGCCUUUAACUGGUCAAGAUAAUGGGCACACACUUCACACAAGCUAAGGAUAUUAAAGCAUGCUACUCAUUGAAAAGUGAAAACAAGCUCUAUGAAACUAAACCAGUCAAGGAAAGUUGCUAAACAAUACUAGAAGGAAAAGGGGGGGAAACAUUGCGACUUCCCGAAGCAAAAGCAAUUCUGGAUUGAAUUGCUUGAGCAACUAACUUUAGAACACAACAUGGCAGUGAUCAAUGAACAAAGGAGCAAUUGAUAAUCACAUUUCAGCAAAAUCAUUUGGACUAUGAGAAAACCAAGUUGCAACAACCAGAAACCCUUGAGGGACAAGAAGGAAAUCUCUGCAAAUAUUAACAUCCACAUGCCUGGCUAUCAGACAACUAUUGCUAAUCAAGACAUUAAAUCUUUCCAUAGAUUCAUAUCUACACAAGACAUUAAACAACGUAACAUAAGACCUAUAAUAUUGAGCAGACUCUUGUGAUACCAAAGCAUGCCAGUAUGUCAAUGCACAAUUAUAUAGAUAACAGAUGCGAGAGUUCAUCCCAAUCCCAUAACCUACCUUGCAGUCUCAACAUAACAAACAAUAGCAAUCCAAGCAAGGUCGAAAAAGAGAAAAUAAAUCAAUGGAUGCAUUCAAGAAAAUAGAGAAAGCACCAAGACCAUCGGUGGGAAGGAAUGACAGCAAUGAUGAAGCAAAUUUGUUGAACAAUGCCGAUGAGUUGAAGUUCUAAACUCCAGAAAAUGCCAUCCAAAUCACUGGCUUGAGCUUAAAAGGAUCCGAUUUAACAUAUUAUAACGUAAAAACAGCAUAGCUACCAUAUCUUAUUGUUUCCUUUUGCAUUCAAACUACCUUCAAUCGCAGUAC
RNAcentral lists this long non-coding RNA (2005 nucleotides) under Populus trichocarpa (black cottonwood). RNAcentral describes it as "long non-coding RNA (PTRI_LNC002662)". The record is from RNAcentral. Lineage: Eukaryota; Viridiplantae; Streptophyta; Magnoliopsida; Malpighiales; Salicaceae.